Molecule: ribosomal RNA, 497 nt
Filed under: uncultured bacterium
Lineage: Bacteria
Description: partial 16S ribosomal RNA
Rfam family: Bacterial small subunit ribosomal RNA
Source: RNAcentral
GAUGAACGCUGGCGGCGUGCUUAAUACAUGCAAGUCGAACGAACAGACCAGGAGCUUGCUUCCUUGACGUUUGCCGCGGACGUGUGAGUAACACGUGCAAACUCUCCCUAUCAGACUGGUAUAACUUCGAGACACCGUCUCAAAUAGCGGACAAUCUACUGAACCGCAUGCUUCAGCAGUAAAGAACGGCUUUGCUGUCACUUAUCGCUGCCUCCGCGCCGCAUUAGCUGGUUGCGAAGGUAACGGCUUACCAAGGCAACGAUGCGUAGCCGACCUGAGAGGGUGAUCGGCCACACUGGAACUGAGACACGGACCAGACUCCUACGGGAGGCAGCAGUAGGGAAUCUUACGCAAUGGGCGAAAGCCUGACGGAGCAACGCCGCGCGAGUGAUGAAGGUGUUCGGAUCGUAAAACUCUGUUAUUAGGGAAGAACAAAUGUGUACGGAACUAUGCACGUAUUGACGGUACCUAAACAGAAAGCCACGGCUAACUACGUG